UAGAUAACUCGGGUAUCACA
RNAcentral lists this microRNA (20 nucleotides) under Drosophila erecta. Its description in RNAcentral is "der-miR-977-5p". Its record names the gene der-miR-977-5p. Lineage: Eukaryota; Metazoa; Arthropoda; Insecta; Diptera; Drosophilidae. The record is from miRBase by way of RNAcentral.